UAUAAAUUUCAGAUGAUUUGAAAAUGGUUCAUGUUGCAUUUACUAUUGGCUUGAUAUGUAUCUAGAUAUGCCAAUUCACGUCAUCUCAGAAGAAUGAUCCCUGAUACAGAAUGUAGAGUCAGGCUGCAUCAUCACUAAAUGGUGAUAGAGAUCAAAUAAAAAUUUAAAUUAAUGAGAGUUAAAGCCAACGAAAAAAAUUUAGCCUAAAACUAACAAAUCAAGAUUUUACAUGGACUAAAUAUAUUUAGCUGCUUGAAUCAUUUGCGGGUAUAGGUAAAAAAUGUGUUUUUUGUUUUGUAAAUACUGACGAGGUGGAUUACCUUAAGUUUGGUGUAUUUGACCCUGAUUAUUAGUGUUUGUUAUAUGGAGCCAUGAGUAGCCAAUGGUGAGUUUGAGUUCUUAGUUUUAACUUGUAAUAUGACACCAAUUGUAAAUAUGAAAUUGGUGGAGUGCAGUAAUAGAAUUCUAGCAGUAGUGUUCUAAUUUUCUAUGUUCUUUGAUGAUAAACAUGUAUUCUUUUAUUCUAGUGUGUAUUAGUAUUUGCUAGCAAAGUUUAUCAUCUUGCAAUAAAUUAUAAAUGUACAGCCCUAGCAUUGGGAGAUCCAUCAGUGACACUUGAAGAAGUAACCCCUCCUGUGUUUUCUCCUGGGCCACUGUUUCCCAUAGAGGAUCGAAUUGUCCAACUAUUUGAAAGGAACACAUACUCUGUUGUUAACAUAUUCGAUGUGACAUUACGUCCUCAGCUUAAUGUAACUGGUGUGGUUGAGAUUCCUGAAGGAAAUGGUUCUGGAGUAGUUUGGGAUGAGGAUGGCCACAUUGUGACAAAUUAUCACG
Molecule: non-coding RNA, 834 nt
Organism: Cajanus cajan (pigeon pea)
Lineage: Eukaryota; Viridiplantae; Streptophyta; Magnoliopsida; Fabales; Fabaceae
Source: RefSeq, a predicted model, not a curated record